GAUGAACGCUGGCGGCGUGCUGAAUACAUGCAAGUCGAGCGAACAGACGAGGAACUUGCUCCACUGACGUUAGCGGCGGACGGGUGAGUAACACGUGGAUAACCUACCUAUAAGACUGGGAUAACUUCGGGAAACCGGGGCUAAUACCGGAUAAUAUAUUGAACCGCAUGGUUCAAAAGUGAAAGACGGGUUUGCUGUCACUUAAAGAUGGAUCAGCGCCGCAUUAGCUAGUUGGUAAGGUAACGGCUUACCAAGGCAACGAUGCGGAGCCGACCUGAGAGGGUGACCAGCCACGCUGGAACUGAGACACGGUCCAGACUCCUCCGGGAUGCCGCAGUCGGGCAUCUUCGGGCAUGCUCGAAGGCAUGCGGGAUCAGUGUCGCGUGCGUGAUGAAGAUCUUCUGAUCGUAGAGCUCUGUAAUUAGCGAAAGACCACCGUGUAAGUAACUCGGAACGUCUUGACGGUACCUCAUCAGAUCGCCGCGGCUAACUACGUG
This 497-nucleotide ribosomal RNA is filed under the name uncultured bacterium. Its description in RNAcentral is "partial 16S ribosomal RNA". It matches the Rfam family "Bacterial small subunit ribosomal RNA", at positions 28 to 507 of the family's 1533-position model. The record is from RNAcentral.